UGGCGGCGUGGUUAAGACAUGCAAAGUCGGACGCUAAUUAGGAGGUAGCAAUAUUUUCUAGUUGGAGUGGCGCAAAGGGUGCGUAACACGUGGGUAAUCUGCCGUGAAGUUUGGGAUAACUCGCUGAAAGGCGAGCUAAUACCGGAUGUGAAGGUGAGGAAGCAUUUUUUGACCUUCAAAGCUGGGGACCGUAACAGGCCUGGCGCUUCACGAUGAGCCCGCGGCCUAUCAGCUAGUUGGUGAGGUAACGGCUCACCAAGGCUAAGACGGGUAGCUGGUCUGAGAGGACGACCAGCCACACUGGAACUGAGACACGGUCCAGACACCUACGGGUGGCAGCAGUCGAGAAUUUUUCACAAUGGGCGCAAGCCUGAUGGAGCGACGCCGCGUGGGGGAUGAAGGGUUUCGAUCCGUAAACCCCUGUCAUUUGCGAACAAUGGUUGAGCAAUAACACUGUUCAACUUGAUAGUAGCGGAAGAGGAAGGGACGGCUAACUCUGUGCCAGCAGCCGCGGUAAUACAGAGGUCCCAAGCGUUGUUCGGAUUCACUGGGCGUAAAGGGUGCGUAGGUGGCCGUGGAAGUUCGGUGUGAAAGCUCGGAGCUCAACUCCGA
Molecule: ribosomal RNA, 612 nt
Filed under: uncultured Verrucomicrobiota bacterium
Lineage: Bacteria; Pseudomonadati; Verrucomicrobiota
Description: bacterial SSU rRNA
Rfam family: Bacterial small subunit ribosomal RNA
Source: RNAcentral